This is a long non-coding RNA of Mya arenaria, 1727 nucleotides long. RefSeq lists it as uncharacterized. NCBI's taxonomy places the organism in Eukaryota, Metazoa, Mollusca, Bivalvia, Myida, Myidae. The record is from RefSeq and is a predicted model, not a curated record. The transcript is spliced from 3 exons.
CCCCCCCCCCCAUAAGGAUGACAAUGUACUUGGACAAGAUUCUAAGACCUUUUUGAAAGAAAUAUGAAUAGGGGACUUCUAUAGCAGAAGAAGUAUAGCCAAACUUGCAGAAAACAACAACCGAAUGACUGCAUCACUAAAGAAAAGAAACAGGAUUUCUCCAAAUGUAGAAAUGCAGACAGCUCUUCACCAUCAACUGUGAUCCUUUGUAAUUUUGUGUACAUAUGAAACUAAAUGACUGCACAGAAAUGUUUUUUGUUGUUCUUAGGUUGUUGUAUGCAUACUUCAUAAAUCCCAUGAUUUUAUUUCCACCAAGUGCCACAUAAUUUCCACCAACUGCCACAUUGGCAUGGCAUUUGGUGAAAAAAGAUAAGAGAAACUGAACGUGGCAUUUGAUGGAAAAUUGUUCCAAUACUCCACCAACUGCCACCUUGGGGUGGCAUUUGGUGAAAAAUUUGCCACCAACUGCCACGUGGCAUUUGGUGGAAAACGUUCCAAUACUCCACCAAGUGCCACGUUGGGGUGGCAUUUGGUGAAAAAAAUUGCCACGUGGCAUUUGGUGGAAAAUGUUCCAAUACUCCACCAAGUGCCACGUUGGGGUGGCAUUUGGUGGAAAAUGGUGAAAAAUUAGAUCAAAGUCCCAUUUUAUUCUGUUUUUCAUCUUUUUACACCAACUGCCACCCGUUCCAAUACUCCACCGACUGCCACCCAUUUUCCACAUCCAAUUCGUGGCAAAUUUAGGGAAGGGUGCUGCAAUAAACAACAAUACUGUCAACUCUACACUGGCAGCUCUUAUAAUUUAUUAUGAAACGAUCAUUAAUGUUGCAGAGUGCAGACAUAUUACACAAAUGAAGGAACAAACGGUAUUAGAAAUAGUUCUGUGUCAGCAAUUUUCUCCAACUGUAAUAAACUACGUACUGUUCUAUGAUUAACUGAACAAAACAUUGUGAUCAGCCAAUAUACAUAUACAUGUGCUGCUGUACCAAUUCUGUUUUUUAUUAAGCUGAUAUGACAACAUACUUUAUAUUAAUUAAAGGCUGUAAGUAACAAAUUAUUUUUAUGCAAAGGGUUUAACUUAGUAUACUCAGAAAUAGUUAAAAACAUAUUGUAAAUAAGGAAGUCCAUAAUUAUAUGCAGUGUACAAUCAAAGAGCCACUUCAUGCUCAAAUAUGAAACACGAUAAGAUUUUAAGCAUAAUGACUGCAGUUGCUAAGUCUUCACAAAACGGAAACAUCCACUUUCCCCAAUAGAAUACAGCGUAAACUAGGUUUCAUUUCCACACAGUCAUGUACAUUUGUUUACAUUAAGACUUUGGGGUCAAGUUCAAAAACUCGACUCUGUUCUAUGAUAAACCUUUCCUGUAUAAAUACAAUGCUAAAAGCUUCUAAGUGACAUUAAAUUAAGAAGAAGAUAGAACCUUUUCACUUUCACCCCUCAAAUUACAUAACAACACAUGAAUACACACAUCCAUGUCUCAGGGAGAUAUAGUAAAUAUGCAGUAAUAUCUGUAACAUGCCAUGAGGGAAUGAUAACAGGAACAAAUAUAGGAACACCAGUACUGUAAAUAAGUCAUAACAUGCUAUCUUGGUCAUACAGUUAGCCCCAAUAUGUAUUACAAUGUUAUUAUCAUAUAGCUUGCCAAUUUCAUCUGUUUUAUUAUAACAGAAAUGCAAAACAAUCAAUUCCCUGCCACAUUUCCAGGGGCGUAGCUUCCUUUAGGCACUGUA